AUUCCACAUGCGGACACCGAACUCCGCAUUCGACGAAGAAACGCGAUUGGUGUCGAUCGCAGCCCUGGUGAUUCCGCAGCACGCAGCCGGAGCGGACGAGACGAACCGAGCCGCAAACUAAAACACAUGUUUUGACUGAUCUAUUCGGGAAGACUGGACGAGGAUUUGACCGACUUGAAAAAAAACACAGAGCGUGGGCGAGAGCGAUGGUCUUCAACUGAUCCGGUGUUAAUACGAGCUUGUCGCUAAAAGGUCUGACGGGGAGAGAGAGCUAGCGGCACGCAGCCGGCGAAUUCAAGCAGAGCCCAACGUAGCGUUAGCCUGUUAGCUUCUGGCUAGCAAGGAGAGGCGCUAAUUCGUCCGUUCUCGGCGUACACCUGCGUCCCACGCUGCCCCCGCGUGCAACUACCUGUCAGCUCGCCCGUGGACUUUUCCUCCGGCAUCUUUCUCCCGUGGUCAUUUUUUAUUUUUAUUUUAUUUGAAUAAACGCGUGGGAGAACGACGGGGUGGAGGGAGGAACGGGACUGUGCCCAGGUUUAAAGGUUAGGAGCAGCGGUAUCGAGCCGUGUCCUCGAGUGGACCGUUCGCCAUGGAUAACGCGCACACGAAGACGGUGGAGGAAGUUUUGAGCUUUUUCAACGUGAACGAGAGCACGGGUCUGAGCUUGGAGGAGGUGAAGAAACAGCGGGAGCGGUUCGGACCCAACGAAUUACCGGCAGAGGAGGGCAAAUCCCUUUGGGAACUGGUGGUCGAACAAUUUGAAGAUCUACUUGUGAGGAUCCUUUUGCUGGCUGCCUGUAUAUCUUUUGUGCUGGCCUGGUUUGAGGAGGGAGAAGAAACCGUCACAGCCUUUGUGGAGCCUUUUGUCAUCUUGCUUAUUCUCAUAGCAAACGCCAUCGUAGGAGUGUGGCAGGAGCGAAAUGCUGAAAAUGCCAUUGAAGCUCUGAAGGAAUAUGAGCCAGAGAUGGGGAAGGUGUAUCGGCAGGACAGGAAAACCGUCCAGAGAAUCAAAGCCAGGGACAUUGUCCCCGGUGACAUCGUAGAAGUGGCAGUUGGUGACAAAGUGCCUGCAGACAUCAGGCUGACUUCUAUAAAAUCCACCACACUGAGGGUAGACCAGUCAAUUCUUACAGGAGAGUCUGUGUCUGUGAUCAAGCACACAGAUCCGGUGCCAGACCCACGAGCCGUCAACCAGGACAAAAAGAACAUGCUCUUUUCUGGUACAAACAUCGCAGCCGGCAAAGCCGUAGGCGUGGUGGUGGCCACAGGCGUCAACACGGAGAUCGGCAAAAUCCGCGACGAGAUGGCGUCCACGGAGCAGGAGCGCACGCCCUUACAGCAGAAGCUGGACGAGUUCGGCCAGCAGCUGUCCAAGGUCAUCACACUGAUCUGCAUCGCCGUUUGGCUCAUCAAUAUUGGACAUUUUAACGACCCCGUCCACGGAGGGUCCUGGAUCCGAGGCGCGGUCUAUUACUUCAAGAUCGCUGUGGCUCUGGCAGUCGCUGCGAUUCCUGAGGGUCUGCCUGCUGUCAUUACCACCUGCCUGGCUUUGGGGACACGCCGCAUGGCCAAGAAGAAUGCCAUUGUCCGCAGUUUGCCCUCAGUGGAGACCCUCGGCUGUACUUCUGUCAUCUGCUCUGACAAAACCGGCACGCUGACCACCAAUCAGAUGUCUGUCUGCCGGAUGUUUAUUAUCGAUAAAGCGGAGCGGGAUCACUGCUCAUUGAAGGAGUUCACCGUUACCGGCUCCACAUACGCCCCAGAUGGAGACGUCUUUCAUAAUGGCAAGCCGGUCAGAUGCUCCCAGUACGAUGGCUUGGUUGAGCUGGCCUCCAUCUGUGCUCUCUGUAAUGACUCGUCUCUGGACUAUAAUGAGUCAAAAGGUGUCUAUGAGAAGGUGGGAGAGGCCACAGAGACGGCUCUGACAUGCCUGGUGGAGAAGAUGAACGUGUUUGAUACAGACAUUAAAAGCUUGUCCAAGGUUGAGCGAGCGAAUGCCUGCAACUCCGUGAUCAAGCAGCUCAUGAAGAAAGAGUUUACGCUGGAGUUCUCCAGAGACAGGAAAUCUAUGUCUGUGUACUGCACUCCAAAUAAAGCACGCUCCUCCGUUGGCAAGAUGUUUGUAAAGGGUGCCCCAGAGGGAGUCAUUGACAGGUGCACACACAUCCGUGUUGGCAGCAACAAGGUGCCCAUGACUCCUGGUAUAAAGGAGAAGAUCAUGUCUGUGAUCCGGGAGUACGGGACCGGCAGAGACACGCUGCGCUGUCUGGCUCUGGCAACGCGAGAUAACCCUGGAAGCAAAGACAGCCUUGUGCUGCAGGACUCCGCUCGCUUUGUGGAGUAUGAGACUGACCUGACGUUUGUUGGCUGUGUUGGCAUGCUGGAUCCUCCCAGGGCGGAGGUGGCGGCUUCCAUUAGGCUUUGUCGCCUCGCAGGCAUCAGAGUAAUUAUGAUCACUGGAGACAACAAGGGUACGGCAGUGGCCAUCUGCAGACGCAUCGGUAUCUUUGGAGAAGACGACGACGUCUCCAGCAUGGCGUUCACCGGCAGAGAGUUCGACGACCUCUCGCCCGUUGCUCAAAGAGAAGCCGUGAUCAAGGCGCGCUGCUUUGCUCGCGUGGAGCCGGCUCACAAGUCUAAGAUUGUUGAGUAUCUGCAGUCCUACGAUGAGAUUACAGCUAUGACCGGCGACGGCGUAAACGACGCUCCCGCUCUGAAGAAGGCCGAGAUCGGCAUCGCCAUGGGCUCAGGGACAGCCGUGGCCAAAACUGCCUCCGAGAUGGUGCUGGCCGACGACAACUUUUCCACCAUCGUAGCUGCGGUGGAGGAAGGCCGAGCCAUUUACAACAACAUGAAGCAGUUCAUCAGAUACCUCAUCUCCUCAAAUGUUGGCGAGGUCGUCUGUAUCUUCCUGACCGCAGCUCUGGGUUUCCCCGAGGCUCUCAUCCCCGUUCAGCUGCUCUGGGUCAACCUGGUUACUGACGGGUUGCCUGCCACCGCUUUAGGGUUCAACCCGCCCGACUUGGACAUCAUGACCAAACCUCCACGAAAUGCUCGGGAGCCCCUCAUCUCAGGAUGGCUGUUCUUCAGAUACCUCGCAAUCGGCUGUUACGUUGGAGCUGGUACCGUCGGUGCCGCUGCGUGGUGGUUCGUUGCUGCUGAGGACGGACCGAGGAUCACCUUUUACCAGCUGAGCCAUUUCCUGCAAUGUGGCCCAGAAAACCCAGACUACCAGGGUCUGGACUGCAAGGUGUUUGAGUCCCCUUACCCCAUGACUAUGGCCCUGUCAGUGCUGGUCACCAUUGAGAUGUGCAAUGCCCUCAACAGUGUGUCAGAGAACCAGUCGCUGCUCCGGAUGCCUCCCUGGGAGAACGUGUGGCUGCUGGGGGCCAUCUGCCUCUCCAUGUCCCUUCACUUCCUCAUCCUUUAUGUGGAGCCGCUUCCAAUCAUCUUCCAGAUCACCCCGCUCAACUUGACCCAGUGGCUCAUGGUGCUGAAGAUCUCCCUGCCCGUCAUCCUGCUCGACGAGCUGCUCAAGUUCGCUUCCAGGAACUACCUGGAGCGGACCAGAGAGCUGGAGAAGCCCGCCAGCUCCAAAGGCUGCUCCCUGUUUGCAUGUAUGGAGGGCAUCUCCUGGCCCUUCGUGGCCAUUUCCCUCCCUCUGGUCCUCUGGAUCUACAGCUCUGACACUAACCUGGCUGACAUGUUCAUGUCUUGACUGACUUAGCACAACCUCAACAGUUUCCAUCCCUCUCUCCUCUCCCCUCCCCCCACCCCUCACCCACUGCCAUCACCACCUCCUCUCCUUCUCUCUUUGCCUUCCUAAUUGUUCAUAACUAGCGUGCGCGCGCCGGUGUGUGUGUACGUUUGUAGAGUUAGGGUUGUGUAUGAGAGCGUGUGCGUGCGUGAAGCUGUGUGCACGAGGAGGACCGACUGUAACCCAUGAAACGCAACAAAUAAUAUAACUAGUUAACAUUUAAGUCGCCUGUUUGAGUUGGGUCAGUACUUGUGAACGGCUGAGGCUUUGAAGUGACUCCUGCAGCUUUGGACUUUGUUGCUGGUUUAAAAAGCAAGUAGUGUUGCCAGUUUUUUUUUUUUAUUAUUAAUAUUAUUUUGGUUAUUGUCAAUAUUGCCUUUAAGGUAUGUUUUUAAAUGUUAGGAUUAUCUGCAUUCUGUCCUACGUCACUACUGUUAUAGAGAAUUUUGUUUAGGUUCCCGUUCUCCUGAACACAAAAUUUGAAGAUAUCAAAUUAUUUGAUCUGUACAGAGAUUGAACACUAUUUUAUGCAAAAAAAAAAACACAACUUUUUUUUUUUUAAUGGCUUUGUAAAUUGUUUAACCAGUGUGGCUUAGAAGGUACCCGCCUUGAUUUAUUUUCUGUUUACCAUUGUGUCUUCAGUAUAAAUUCAAAACUCUCUGAGAGGACAAGCUCCAUUUGGCAGACGAGAAACGGGGGAAAGGUUUGGGAUGCUCGGCUUAAACAAAAAGGCGAAAAAAGAAAAGAAUCCAGAGAAACAAACAAACAUAAAAAAAGCUGCAUGUCCUGUGACCAAGCAUGAACUGUAUGUGGUUUCUCAUGUCUAAUUUAAAUGUGUACGCCCCCUCGUUAAAGCGUAAAGAGCUUUGUGGAUUUUUUUUUUUAUGAUAUUGAUUAAAAAAAAAAUUUUUUUUUUCUGCACUGGGCAGAGCACAGCUACCUCAAUAUGAUGAAAAAUGCUCUUUUUUUUUUUUUUUAAUUGUUUUGCUCAUCUCGAGAUGCUUUCCCUCAACACGUCUUGCUAAAAAGAUAACAUCUGAGGUGUGCCCCCCCUUUUUGCUUGUGCAGAAAAUGAAGAACAUCUUUCUUCCCCUUUAACAUUUUUUUUUUAAGGAUUUGUCUUGUUUGUAUUGAUUGUGACAUUCUUUAACUUAAUUUGCUGUGGAGACGGAGCUGGCUGGGGAUGCUGUUUGUUGUGACCAUCUCCAUAGCCUUUGAUUCAAAGGACAGUAAAAAAAAAAAAUCCUCAAAUACUAAUAUAAGUGCUCCAAAUGAACAUUAAUUGCAGAUUAAAACCAUGUUUUUUUUCUUUUUACAAAAAAAUACACUCGUAAUGAACCCUUUGAAUCAAGUGUUUUUUGUCUUUAUUUAUGUUUGGUUUUCAUUACAAUUCCUAAUCGGUGUUUUUGUAUUUGCUUAUUACUAUAAUAAUUUAAGCGACAUGAAUGCUUUAGCUUUCGUGACUCAAGAGUGCAGAUGUUUGGAUCGGAUCCUUUAAAUAAUCUGGAUUUGUGGCUAUCUUCCAUGUGUGAAAAAACCCAACUAAAGCAUGCUUUUAGGUAGAAACCUGGUUGUUCUCACUGCCUGUGUUUGUCUUAACAAACGUGUGCUUUUUCUCCUAAAAUGCCUUCCAUUGGCUCCCCUAUCAUUAGAGUUGGUUUUCAUGAAAGCUUUUGGCAAUCAGAGCAGAACCAGUAGUUGGGAAUCAUCUUACCACCAAGUGUGUGUGUGAGCUCACGCAUGAUAUCACUCACUGCAGACAGCGUGACGACCAGAAGCACACACGCACACGUGGGUAAAAUUAAAAAAAAAAAGAAAAAGGAAAAAAAAAAAUCAUGUUUUCAGAGUGUGUAAAAUUAUCCUGCUAGUUGUCCCUUCCCCCCCUGCUUCACCUCAUGACACAAAACAAUCACAUUCCCGCAGUGAGCCACACAUGCCUCUGCGUGCUAACGCUAAAUUAGGACAUUAAUCCAGCUUUAUGUGCAGGGGUGUCCUGAAAUAUCCUCUCCUGAACCCUCCUUGCAUGAAGAACUUCUUCCAUCGGUAGCUCGUCAGUCGCAUAGAUCAUUUUGCAGAAGAAAAUGUGGGUUGAAAGGUCUUUGCUUUGUACAUCAGUGUACAAAAAAAAAAAAAAAAAAUACAUUCAUGCAUGCGUUUCAGCUGUAUGUAGGCUUUACAAAUUUGUAUUUAUAGAUUCUAAUGUAUAAUACUCUAAUUACUUUUAAAGAGGGGUUUUAAGAAAGCUGAACAAGAAAAGCUGUAAAAUCACUUUCUAUUGUAACGGCUUGGGUCAUUUGCACAAUGUUGGACAUGGAUAAAAGAUUCAUGCUAAACUUGACUGUGCUUAACUUUAGCUUUUUGUUGUUGUUUUUUGAUAGUAUUUUGGGUUGUUUUUUUUGUUGUUUUUUUUACUUAUUUUCAUCCCAUCACUUAAUGUGAGAAUAUCUAUCACUCUGCCAGUUAAUUUCAUGAAUUAGCCAGUAGCGUUUAGGUUAACAGACUGUCGCUCAUUUCCCAAUGAACCUGCAAUACAGCUUGUUUGAUUUUUCUUAUUGCCUUGACAUUCCUAUAAUUAUUAUGUAUCUUUAUCAACUGCUGUAAAACUGUGAUUUAGUGUGAGGGAUCCGGUAUGGUCUCCUCCUGACACCCGGUUGAAGAACAAUAUUAACCAUAUUAUGUAAACGUCAAUCAUUACUGAAGGCUGAUGAUUGUACAGUACAUACAUUACUGAGGUUGUGGUUUCAGGUAAAUAAAAUAAUCUAGUAUUUGA
Molecule: RNA transcript, 6527 nt
Organism: Fundulus heteroclitus (mummichog)
Lineage: Eukaryota; Metazoa; Chordata; Actinopteri; Cyprinodontiformes; Fundulidae
Gene: atp2a2b
Gene name: ATPase sarcoplasmic/endoplasmic reticulum Ca2+ transporting 2b
Exons: 24
Source: RefSeq, a predicted model, not a curated record